AACGGCUCAGUAACACGUAGAUAAUUUGCCCUUAGGUGGAGGAUACCCUCGGGAAACUGAGAAUAAUACUCCAUAGAUUUAGAAUGCUGGAAUGCUUUUAAAUUGAAAGAUUUAUCGCCUAAGGAUAAGUCUGCGGACUAUCAGGUCGUAGUUAGGGUAAAUACCUGACUAGCCUACGACGGAUACGGGUUGUGAGAGCACUAGCCCGGAGAUGAUAUCUGAGACACGAUAUCAGGCCCUACGGGGCGCAGCAGGCGCGAAAACUUCGCACUGUGCGAAAGCACGACGAGGGAAUCCCAAGUGCUGGCUCGUAAGAGUCAGCUGUUUCUUUGUCUAAAAAACAGAGAGAGUAAGAGCUGGGUAAGACGGGUGCCAGCCGCCGCGGUAAUACCUGCAGCUCAAGUGGUGGCCGCUAUUAUUGGGCCUAAAACGUCCGUAGCCGGUUCUAUAAAUGCCUGGGUAAAUCGUACGGCUUAACCGUACGAAUUCCGGGUAGACUGUUCAACUUGGGACCGGGAGAGGCUAGAGGUACUCCUGGGGUAGAGGUGAAAUUCUGUAAUCCUAGGGGGACCACCAGUGGCGAAGGCGUCUACUAGAACGGGUCUGACGGUGAGGGACGAAGCCCUGGGGAGCAAACGGGAUUAAAUACCCGGUAGUCCAGGGUGUAAACGCUGCU
Molecule: ribosomal RNA, 676 nt
Filed under: uncultured archaeon
Lineage: Archaea
Description: bacterial SSU rRNA
Rfam family: Archaeal small subunit ribosomal RNA
Source: RNAcentral